GAUGAACGCUGGCGGCGUGCCUAAUACAUGCAAGUCGAGCGAACGGACGAGAAGCUUGCUUCUCUGAUGUUAGCGGCGGACGGGUGAGUAACACGUGGAUAACCUACCUAUAAGACUGGGAUAACUUCGGGAAACCGGAGCUAAUACCGGAUAAUAUUUUGAACCGCAUGGUUCAAAAGUGAAAGACGGUCUUGCUGUCACUUAUAGAUGGAUCCGCGCUGCAUUAGCUAGUUGGUAAGGUAACGGCUUACCAAGGCAACGAUGCAUAGCCGACCUGAGAGGGUGAUCGGCCACACUGGAACUGAGACACGGUCCAGACUCCUACGGGAGGCAGCAGUAGGGAAUCUUCCGCAAUGGGCGAAAGCCUGACGGAGCAACGCCGCGUGAGUGAUGAAGGUCUUCGGAUCGUAAAACUCUGUUAUUAGGGAAGAACAUAUGUGUAAGUAACUGUGCACAUCUUGACGGUACCUAAUCAGAAAGCCACGGCUAACUACGUGCCAGCAGCCGCGGUAAUACGUAGGUGGCAAGCGUUAUCCGGAAUUAUUGGGCGUAAAGCGCGCGUAGGCGGUUUUUUAAGUCUGAUGUGAAAGCCCACGGCUCAACCGUGGAGGGUCAUUGGAAACUGGAAAACUUGAGUGCAGAAGAGGAAAGUGGAAUUCCAUGUGUAGCGGUGAAAUGCGCAGAGAUAUGGAGGAACACCAGUGGCGAAGGCGACUUUCUGGUCUGUAACUGACGCUGAUGUGCGAAAGCGUGGGGAUCAAACAGGAUUAGAUACCCUGGUAGUCCACGCCGUAAACGAUGAGUGCUAAGUGUUAGGGGGUUUCCGCCCCUUAGUGCUGCAGCUAACGCAUUAAGCACUCCGCCUGGGGAGUACGACCGCAAGGUUGAAACUCAAAGGAAUUGACGGGGACCCGCACAAGCGGUGGAGCAUGUGGUUUAAUUCGAAGCAACGCGAAGAACCUUACCAAAUCUUGACAUCCUUUGACAACUCUAGAGAUAGAGCUUUCCCCUUCGGGGGACAAAGUGACAGGUGGUGCAUGGUUGUCGUCAGCUCGUGUCGUGAGAUGUUGGGUUAAGUCCCGCAACGAGCGCAACCCUUAAGCUUAGUUGCCAUCAUUAAGUUGGGCACUCUAAGUUGACUGCCUGUGACAAACCGGAGGAAGGUGGGGAUGACGUCAAAUCAUCAUGCCCCUUAUGAUUUGGGCUACACACGUGCUACAAUGGACAAUACAAAGGGCAGCGAAACCGCGAGGUCAAGCAAAUCCCAUAAAGUUGUUCUCAGUUCGGAUUGUAGUCUGCAACUCGACUACAUGAAGCUGGAAUCGCUAGUAAUCGUAGAUCAGCAUGCUACGGUGAAUACGUUCCCGGGUCU
RNAcentral lists this ribosomal RNA (1372 nucleotides) under uncultured bacterium. RNAcentral's name for it is "bacterial SSU rRNA". It matches the Rfam family "Bacterial small subunit ribosomal RNA", at positions 28 to 1381 of the family's 1533-position model. The record is from RNAcentral.